Gasterosteus aculeatus aculeatus (three-spined stickleback) is the source of this 1016-nucleotide non-coding RNA. NCBI's taxonomy places the organism in Eukaryota, Metazoa, Chordata, Actinopteri, Perciformes, Gasterosteidae. The record is from RefSeq and is a predicted model, not a curated record.
GUCACCGAACCACCACCUGGACUCGGGAGACCCGCCGAGGGUUCGACCCCGCCGACCUGCGCUCGCUUCUCCCGCAACACGACGCGGACGUCUAUGGGACCAGAGGAGUCGCCCCCUGGUGGUCACUGCAGAGAACGCAGCUUUAAAGACGGCAGCAACGAAGAACUAAAUGCACUGACCCAGAUAAAUGAUGAAGGGCGCGGUGAUGGUUCCGAUGCGAGCAGCCAUGGAGCAACAACCCAUCGCUGUGUUUCUGACAACGGUGGGGAAGAUCUCUGACGUGUAGGUGUACACCACGCAAAACGAUGAUGUCAUGCAGAACUUCCCCAAAAUCUCCAGGACCACAGGGAUACUCGUAAUGUCUACGGGCGCACAAUCAGAACACGCAAAGACUCAAAAGAGCGACACGUCUGAAAAUGGGAGACUUCUGGUCCUCAGGAGGCGGCGGCGGCGGCAUUACCGGUCGGAAUGAGGUGAACGAGGAGGAUGAAAACGCCCCCGAAGAAGAGCGUGGAAGACUGGCAGAAGUGCCUGCCGCAGUACUUGAGCAGCAGCAGGGCGAUUAUGUAGGCCGGCACCUCGACCACGGCCGACAGGAAGCAGCUCAGAUGCUGCACACACCCAGAUAGAUGACGUAAGGAGCCGUGAUGCUGCCGAUGCGCGCGGCCGAGGAGCACAUCCCCAUGCCGGCGUUCCUGAUGACGGUGGGGUACAGCUCGGCGGUGUAGAUGUACACGAUGCUGAAGGCCAUGGUGAAGCCAAACUUUCCGGUCAUUUCCAACGCCAGAGCAACGUACUGAAGGGCUGAUGAGGGGAAAGAGGAGAUAUUUGGAUUGAGCCAUGAAUGGAUUCCCCAAACAGUCUGUUUUGAAUGGCCGUGAAAUAAAUUGCUUUUGUCGAUUUAAUAAAGUUGAAUUUAACUAAACUGAGUAGAAAAUAAAUCUUCCCGGUUCUCUUAAACAAAGACAUUUAUUCAUGACUAUUUUCAACCUAAUAAAAAAUCGUUACGUGUUCAA